UAGGGAAUCUUCCGCAAUGGACGAAAGUCUGACGGAGCAACGCCGCGUGAGUGAAGAAGGAUUUCGGUUCGUAAAACUCUGUUGUUAGGGAAGAAAAAAUGUAUAGUAACUAUAUACAAAAGAGACGGUACCUAACCAGAAAGCCACGGCUAACUACGUGCCAGCAGCCGCGGUAAUACGUAGGUCCCGAGCGUUGUCCGGAAUUAUUGGGCGUAAAGCGCGCGCAGGUGGUUUAGAAAGUCUGAUGUGAAAGCCCACGGCUCAACCGUGGAGGGUCAUUGGAAACUAAUAAACUUGAGUGCAGGAGAGAAAAGUGGAAUUCCUAGUGUAGCGGUGAAAUGCGUAGAGAUUAGGAGGAACACCGGUGGCGAAAGCGGCUUUUUGGCCUGCAACUGACACUGAGGCGCGAAAGCGUGGGGAGCAAACAGG
RNAcentral lists this ribosomal RNA (429 nucleotides) under Verrucomicrobiota bacterium. Its description in RNAcentral is "Verrucomicrobia bacterium partial 16S ribosomal RNA". It matches the Rfam family "Bacterial small subunit ribosomal RNA", at positions 355 to 776 of the family's 1533-position model. The record is from RNAcentral. Lineage: Bacteria; Pseudomonadati; Verrucomicrobiota.